Molecule: non-coding RNA, 1036 nt
Organism: Megalopta genalis
Lineage: Eukaryota; Metazoa; Arthropoda; Insecta; Hymenoptera; Halictidae
Source: RefSeq, a predicted model, not a curated record
UUUUUUUCCCCAGGCGUGUAACUGACUUCGUCGGGGAGCACCCGUGAUCGGAAGGAAGUUCCGUCGUAAAGCAGCGUAUCCAAGUACAUCUCGAGCGUCUUUUCCAUAGGAAACGUCGGAUCUUCGGCAGAAAGUCGAGCUGAAACGAUUUCCGCAAACUUUGGAUAUUAGGGAAAUGGAGAUCAGGACGAGCGAAAUUCGAAGUUGCCGUCGCUACUUCGUCGACUCGACAGCUGUGCUUUCUUCGAUUUCUCUAACCCUUUGCUUUCGCGAAGAAGCUAUUGGAAAACGAAAUUUGGUUGCUGUGAAUUUCCCUGCGCUGCUUCUACGCCUAUGUAAAUUAUUACUACGUCGAUGCGAGAAGUCGAUGCAAGAAAAACCGCGGAAUUACAAGUUAAAAAUGAGAGGAGAACCGAAGACGUAUAAUUUCGUCGGGACACGUUUGUUUAACAAUUUGAUGGAUCGUCGCCGGGGAUUGGUUAGCUCGACGCAAGGCCGGGAUAGACAGCCGUGACUUCAAAGAGGCGUUCGCCGCGCCCUCGACUUCCGAAAGGCGCUCGAUCGCGUUCGAAGAUCAAAAGAAGCAGAUUUCAGGUUCAAUGGGAGCGUUAACGGGCCUUUAAUCGGACCGGCGUAAAAGCGACUCGUUCUAAACUCACGAAGGAAACAACAGCAAGUGGCUGUUGAAGGGGGUUGUUAAUCAAGGGACUCUGGGAAGGUGCGAACGACGCCGCCGACGAGGACGAAGCUCCGCGCCGUCUCUCGGCGUGCCGAGGGAGAAAUGACAGGGGCCGCCCCGCGAUAACGAGAGCCUUCCGGUAAAAGCGGAGCGGGACGGUCUGCUUUUCACCCGGGGAAAUUUGAAUAUCGCUAAUUGAACGCCGUUCCCCCGUGCUCGCGCGUCUACGUUUGAAGAGGGCUCCGUGGCGGGCCCCGCGUCACCGAGGAUAUACAACAUUUUUAACGGUAUGCAAAUGCACGGAACCGUUCCGCGGCCGGCGUAUACAUACAGAGUGUCCCAAAAAUGUCUCGCAAU